Molecule: ribosomal RNA, 412 nt
Filed under: uncultured microorganism
Description: bacterial SSU rRNA
Rfam family: Bacterial small subunit ribosomal RNA
Source: RNAcentral
GAGUUUGAUCGUGGCUCAGAUUGAACGCUGGCGGCAUGCCUUACACAUGCAAGUCGAACGGCAGCAUGAUCUAGCUUGCUAGAUUGAUGGCGAGUGGCGAACGGGUGAGUAAUACAUCGGAACAUGCCCUGUAGUGGGGGAUAACUAGUCGAAAGAUUAGCUAAUACCGCAUACGACCUGAGGGUGAAAGUGGGGGACCGCAAGGCCUCAUGCUAUAGGAGCGGCCGAUGUCUGAUUAGCUAGUUGGUGGGGUAAAGGCCCACCAAGGCGACGAUCAGUAGCUGGUCUGAGAGGACGAUCAGCCACACUGGGACUGAGACACGGCCCAGACUCCUACGGGAGGCAGCAGUGGGGAAUUUUGGACAAUGGGCGAAAGCCUGAUCCAGCAAUGCCGCGUGUGUGAAGAAGGCCU